RNAcentral lists this unclassified non-coding RNA (300 nucleotides) under uncultured fungus. RNAcentral's name for it is "sequence contains 5.8S rRNA gene, ITS2". The stretch from base 1 to 71 matches the Rfam family "5.8S ribosomal RNA", at positions 84 to 154 of the family's 154-position model. The record is from RNAcentral. Lineage: Eukaryota; Fungi.
GUGAGUCAUCGAAUCUUUGAACGCAAAUUGCGCUCGAGGCUUCGGCCAAGAGCAUGUCUGCCUCAGCGUCGGCUACUACCCUCAACUAAGUUUCCUAUCAUUGAUAGGGGAUGCCAGUUGGAUCUGGCCGUCCGGUUUGCCUUUCAGGUUGCCGGUCAGCUGAAAUACAUUCACGCUCUGGGGGCUGCUUUCCUCGAAAGGCUACUUUCGAGGGGAGGUGAGUUCCGAUUUGGUAGGUGACCUUUGCCGGUUGCAUGCCUUCGUUGCCCGCUAAGCUUCCCAGUAGUCGUUGUGCAGGAC